AGAUUAAGUUAUUAAGGGCGCACGGUGGAUGCCUUGGCACUAGAAGCCGAUGAAGGACGUUACUAACGACGAUAUGCUUUGGGGAGCUGUAAGUAAGCUUUGAUCCAGAGAUUUCCGAAUGGGGAAACCCAGCAUGAGUUAUGUCAUGUUAUCGAUAUGUGAAUACAUAGCAUAUCAGAAGGUACACCCGGAGAACUGAAACAUCUUAGUACCCGGAGGAAGAGAAAGAAAAUUCGAUUCCCUUAGUAGCGGCGAGCGAAACGGGAAGAGCCCAAACCAACAAGCUUGCUUGUUGGGGUUGUAGGACACUCUAUACGGAGUUACAAAGGACGACAUUAGACGAAUCAUCUGGAAAGAUGAAUCAAAGAAGGUAAUAAUCCUGUAGUCGAAAAUGUUGUCUCUCUUGAGUGGAUCCUGAGUACGACGGAGCACGUGAAAUUCCGUCGGAAUCU
This 452-nucleotide ribosomal RNA is filed under the name Staphylococcus aureus. Its description in RNAcentral is "partial 23S ribosomal RNA". It matches the Rfam family "Bacterial large subunit ribosomal RNA", at positions 1 to 445 of the family's 2925-position model. The record is from RNAcentral. Lineage: Bacteria; Bacillati; Bacillota; Bacilli; Caryophanales; Staphylococcaceae.